This 254-nucleotide ribosomal RNA is filed under the name uncultured bacterium. Its description in RNAcentral is "partial 16S ribosomal RNA". It matches the Rfam family "Bacterial small subunit ribosomal RNA", at positions 524 to 776 of the family's 1533-position model. The record is from RNAcentral.
UACGUAGGGUCCGAGCGUUGUCCGGAAUUAUUGGGCGUAAAGAGCUCGUAGGCGGUUUGUCGCGUCUGCUGUGAAACCCUCAGGCUCAACCUGGGGACGCCACUCGAUACUGCUGUGGCUAGAGUCCAGUAGGGGAGUGUGGAAUUCCCGGUGUAGCGGUGAAAUGCGCAGAUAUCGGGAGGAACACCAGUGGCGAAGGCGACUACCUGGCCCAUUCUUGACGCUGAGGCGCGAAAGCUAGGGGAGCGAACGGG